RNAcentral lists this ribosomal RNA (207 nucleotides) under Escherichia coli. RNAcentral's name for it is "partial 23S ribosomal RNA". It matches the Rfam family "Bacterial large subunit ribosomal RNA", at positions 2110 to 2316 of the family's 2925-position model. Lineage: Bacteria; Pseudomonadati; Pseudomonadota; Gammaproteobacteria; Enterobacterales; Enterobacteriaceae. The record is from RNAcentral.
CUUGACACUGAACAUUGAGCCUUGAUGUGUAGGAUAGGUGGGAGGCUUUGAAGUGUGGACGCCAGUCUGCAUGGAGCCGACCUUGAAAUACCACCCUUUAAUGUUUGAUGUUCUAACGUUGACCCGUGAUCCGGGUUGCGGACAGUGUCUGGUGGGUAGUUUGACUGGGGCGGUCUCCUCCUAAAGAGUAACGGAGGAGCACGAAGG